Molecule: microRNA, 23 nt
Filed under: Limulus polyphemus (Atlantic horseshoe crab)
Lineage: Eukaryota; Metazoa; Arthropoda; Merostomata; Xiphosura; Limulidae
Description: Lpo-Mir-3931-P6_3p (mature (guide))
Source: RNAcentral
UACUUUGAGUUGGUACGAAUCAU